GGAAGUGUGCCCGAACAUAAGGACUACUUUGAUAGAGUAGAAUAUAGUGGUUAAAAUCCACUCAUUUCCU
RNAcentral lists this transfer RNA (70 nucleotides) under Corytophanes percarinatus. RNAcentral's name for it is "tRNA-Ile". It matches the Rfam family "tRNA". Rfam says of the family: Transfer RNA (tRNA) molecules are approximately 80 nucleotides in length. The record is from RNAcentral. Lineage: Eukaryota; Metazoa; Chordata; Lepidosauria; Squamata; Corytophanidae.